GUAAGGAAUAUUGGUCAAUGGACGCAAGUCUGAACCAGCCAUGCCGCGUGAAGGAUUAAGGUCCUCUGGAUUGUAAACUUCUUUUAUAGGGGGAGAAACACUCGUUUUCCAACGAGCUUGACGGUACCCUAUGAAUAAGCACCGGCUAACUCCGUGCCAGCAGCCGCGGUAAUACGGAGGGUGCAAGCGUUAUCCGGAUUUACUGGGUUUAAAGGGUGCGUAGGCGGAUUAGUAAGUCUGUGGUGAAAUCUCUGAGCUUAACUCAGAAAUUGCCGUGGAUACUAUUAAUCUUGAAUGUCGUUGAGGUUAGCGGAAUAUGUCAUGUAGCGGUGAAAUGCUUAGAUAUGACAUAGAACACCAAUUGCGAAGGCAGCUGGCUAAACGAAUAUUGACGCUGAGGCACGAAAGCGUGGGGAUCAAACAGGAUUAGAAACCCUAGUAGUCC
Molecule: ribosomal RNA, 445 nt
Filed under: uncultured bacterium
Lineage: Bacteria
Description: bacterial SSU rRNA
Rfam family: Bacterial small subunit ribosomal RNA
Source: RNAcentral